ACAGGACGGCCAGGCGAUCGCCGGAGACACACCGGUCUUCGGAGGAAAGUCCGGGCUCCGCCGGGCGCGGUGCUGGGUAAUGCCCAGCGAGGGUAACUUCGGGCAAGCGCAACAGAAAGCAGACCGCCGGAGAUUACUAAUCUUCGGUAAGGGUGAAACGGUGAGGUAAGAGCUCACCGGCCGGCUGGGCGACCAGCCGGGCCAGGCAAGCCCCACCGGGAGCAAAACCGAAUAGGGAGACGCACAGGUGCCCGCCUUUGUCUCCGGGUUGGUUGCUGGACCGGGUCAGUAAUGGCCCGGGUAGAUGAAUGAUCGCCGAAUCUAUGGCCCCGGGCGGCCCUGGAUUCACAGAACCCGGCUUACCGGCUGCCUGUUGAU
RNAcentral lists this RNase P RNA (378 nucleotides) under Deltaproteobacteria bacterium. RNAcentral's name for it is "RNase P RNA component class A". It matches the Rfam family "Bacterial RNase P class A". Rfam says of the family: Ribonuclease P (RNase P) is a ubiquitous endoribonuclease, found in archaea, bacteria and eukarya as well as chloroplasts and mitochondria. Its best characterised activity is the generation of mature 5'-ends of tRNAs by cleaving the 5'-leader elements of precursor-tRNAs. Cellular RNase Ps are ribonucleoproteins. Lineage: Bacteria; Pseudomonadati; Myxococcota; Myxococcia. The record is from RNAcentral.